RNAcentral lists this ribosomal RNA (253 nucleotides) under uncultured bacterium. RNAcentral describes it as "partial 16S ribosomal RNA". It matches the Rfam family "Bacterial small subunit ribosomal RNA", at positions 80 to 334 of the family's 1533-position model. The record is from RNAcentral.
UUUCUUUGCUGGCGACCGGCGCACGGGUGAGUAACACGUAUCCAACCUGCCCUUUACCCGGGGAUAGCCUUUCGAAAGAAAGAUUAAUACCCGAUAGCAUAAUGAUUCCGCAUGGUUUCAUUAUUAAAGGAUUCCGGUAAAGGAUGGGGAUGCGUUCCAUUAGGUUGUUGGUGAGGUAACGGCUCACCAAGCCUUCGAUGGAUAGGGGUUCUGAGAGGAAGGUCCCCCACAUUGGAACUGAGACACGGUCCAA